RNAcentral lists this ribosomal RNA (435 nucleotides) under uncultured soil bacterium. RNAcentral describes it as "bacterial SSU rRNA". It matches the Rfam family "Bacterial small subunit ribosomal RNA", at positions 26 to 450 of the family's 1533-position model. The record is from RNAcentral.
AGAUUGAACGCUGGCGGCAGGCCUAACACAUGCAAGUCGAGCGGCAGCACGGGUACUUGUACCUGGUGGCGAGCGGCGGACGGGUGAGUAAUGCCUAGGAAUCUGCCUGGUAGUGGGGGAUAACGCUCGGAAACGGACGCUAAUACCGCAUACGUCCUACGGGAGAAAGCAGGGGACCUUCGGGCCUUGCGCUAUCAGAUGAGCCUAGGUCGGAUUAGCUAGUUGGUGAGGUAAUGGCUCACCAAGGCGACGAUCCGUAACUGGUCUGAGAGGAUGAUCAGUCACACUGGAACUGAGACACGGUCCAGACUCCUACGGGAGCAGCAGUGGGAAUAGUUGGACAGUGGGCGAAGGUCCGUGAAGUCCAAGCCCAAUCGGCCGCGUUGGUGUAGAAAGAGGUCUUACGGAUUGUAAAGCUAACGUUUAAGGUGGAGG